This 1211-nucleotide ribosomal RNA is filed under the name metagenome. Its description in RNAcentral is "SSU rRNA". It matches the Rfam family "Eukaryotic small subunit ribosomal RNA", at positions 558 to 1790 of the family's 1831-position model. The record is from RNAcentral.
AGUCUGGUGCCAGCAGCCGCGGUAAUUCCAGCUCCAAUAGCGUAUAUUAAAGUUGUUGCAGUUAAAAAGCUCGUAGUUGAAUUUUAGGCCUGGCCGGGCGGUCCGUCUUUGGCGAGUACUGUCUGCUGUCGGGUCUUCCUUCUGGUGAACCAGUAUGCCCUUUAUUGGGUGUGUUGGGGAGCCAGGACCAUUACCUUGAAAAAAUUAGAGUGUUUAGAGCGGGCUAUUGCUUGAAUAGAUUAGCAUGGAAUAAUAGAAUAGGACGUUGUGGUUCUAUUUUGUUGGUUUCUAGGACCACCGUAAUGAUUAAUAGGGAUAGUUGGGGGCAUUAGUAUUCAAUUGUCAGAGGUGAAAUUCUUGGAUUUAUUGAAGACUAACUACUGCGAAAGCAUUUGCCAAGGAUGUUUUCAUUAAUCAAGAACGAAAGUUAGGGGAUCGAAGACGAUCAGAUACCGUCGUAGUCUUAACCAUAAACUAUGCCGACUAGGAAUCGGGCGACGUUAUUUUAAUGACUCGCUCGGCGCCUUAUGGGAAACCAAAGUUUUUGGGUUCCGGGGGGAGUAUGGUCGCAAGGCUGAAACUUAAAGGAAUUGACGGAAGGGCACCACCAGGGGUGGAGCCUGCGGCUUAAUUUGACCCAACACGGGAAAACUCACCAGGUCCAGACAUAGUAAGGAUUGACAGAUUGAGAGCUCUUUCUUGAUUCUAUGGGUGGUGGUGCAUGGCCGUUCUUAGUUGGUGGAGUGAUUUGUCUGGUUAAUUCCGAUAACGAACGAGACCUUAACCUGCUAAAUAGCUAGGCUGCUUUUUAAGCGGUCGUCAGCUUCUUAGAGGGACUGUUGCGCGAUUAGCCAACGGAAGUUUGAGGCAAUAACAGGUCUGUGAUGCCCUUAGAUGUCCUGGGCCGCACGCGCGCUACACUGAUGAAGUCAACGAGUUCAUUUCCUUGGCCGGAAGGCCCGGGUAAUCUUGAGAAACUUCAUCGUGCUGGGGAUAGAGCAUUGCAAUUAUCGCUCUUCAACGAGGAAUCCCUAGUAAGCGUGAGUCAUCAACUCGCGUUGAUUACGUCCCUGCCCUUUGUACACACCGCCCGUCGCUACUACCGAUUGAAUGGCUUAGUGAGACCCUCGGAUCGUAGAUUGUACUGUUGGCAACAACAUACGAUUCGCGAGAAGUUGGUCAAACUUGGUCAUUUAGAGGAAGUAAAAGUC